GUGGAUUAGAUUCCCCGGUAGUCCACGCUGUAAACGAUGGGCACUAGGUGUCCGGGGUAUUGACCCCCUGGGUGCCGCAGCUAACGCAUUAAGUGCCCCGCCUGGGGAGUACGGUCGCAAGAUUAAAACUCAAAGGAAUUGACGGGGGCCCGCACAAGCGGUGGAGCAUGUGGUUCAAUUCGACGCAACGCGAAGAACCUUACCUGGGCUAGACAACGGUGGACCGUCCUAGAAAUAGGAUUUUCCCUUCGGGGACUGCCGGUUCAGGUGCUGCACGGCCGUCGUCAACU
Molecule: ribosomal RNA, 290 nt
Filed under: uncultured bacterium
Lineage: Bacteria
Description: partial 16S ribosomal RNA
Rfam family: Bacterial small subunit ribosomal RNA
Source: RNAcentral